ACGGAAGGCAGCAGUGGGGAAUUUUUCGCAAUGGGGGCAACCCUGACGAAGCAAUGCCGCGUGGAUGAUGAAGUCUCUUGGGACGUAAAAUCCUUUCGACAGGGACGAAACCGCAAGGUUGACGGUACCUGUAGAAGAAGCCCCGGCUAACUCCGUGCCAGCAGCCGCGGUAAUACGGGGGGGGCAAGCGUUGUUCGGAAUUACUGGGCGUAAAGGGUGCGUAGGCGGCUCUCUAAGUCGGAUGUGAAAACUCUGGGCUCAACCCAGAGCCUGCAUCCGAAACUGGAGGGCUAGGGUUCUGGAGGGGAAAGCGGAAUUCCUGGUGUAGCGGUGAAAUGCGUAGAUAUCAGGAGGAACACCGGUGGCGAAGGCGGCUUUCUGGACAGAUACCGACGCUGAGGCACGAAAGCUAGGGGAGCAAACAGGAUUAGAUACCCUGGUA
Molecule: ribosomal RNA, 442 nt
Filed under: uncultured Acidobacteriota bacterium
Lineage: Bacteria; Pseudomonadati; Acidobacteriota
Description: bacterial SSU rRNA
Rfam family: Bacterial small subunit ribosomal RNA
Source: RNAcentral